RNAcentral lists this ribosomal RNA (253 nucleotides) under uncultured bacterium. RNAcentral's name for it is "partial 16S ribosomal RNA". It matches the Rfam family "Bacterial small subunit ribosomal RNA", at positions 524 to 776 of the family's 1533-position model. The record is from RNAcentral.
GACGUAGGGGGCGAGCGUUGUCCGGAAUUAUUGGGCGUAAAGCGCGCGCAGGUGGUUCUUUAAGUCUGAUGUGAAAUCUCGCGGCUCAACCGCGAGCGGUCAUUGGAAACUGGGGAACUUGAGUGCAGAAGAGGAAAGUGGAAUUCCACGUGUAGCGGUGAAAUGCGUAGAGAUGUGGAGGAACACCAGUGGCGAAGGCGACUUUCUGGUCUGUAACUGACACUGAGGCGCGAAAGCGUGGGGAGCGAACAGG